RNAcentral lists this ribosomal RNA (500 nucleotides) under uncultured bacterium. RNAcentral's name for it is "bacterial SSU rRNA". It matches the Rfam family "Bacterial small subunit ribosomal RNA", at positions 28 to 516 of the family's 1533-position model. The record is from RNAcentral.
GAUGAACGCUAGCUACAGGCUUAACACAUGCAAGUCGAGGGGAAACGAUACUGGAAGCUUGCUUCUGAUAGGCGUCGACCGGCGCACGGGUGAGUAACGCGUAUCCAACCUGCCCAUCACUUGGGGAUAACCUUGUGAAAGUAAGACUAAUACCCAAUGACGUCUCUAGAAGACAUCUGAAAGAGAUUAAAGAUUUAUCGGUGAUGGAUGGGGAUGCGUCUGAUUAGCUUGUUGGCGGGGUAACGGCCCACCAAGGCGACGAUCAGUAGGGGUUCUGAGAGGAAGGUCCCCCACAUUGGAACUGAGACACGGUCCAAACUCCUACGGGAGGCAGCAGUGAGGAAUAUUGGUCAAUGGACGAGAGUCUGAACCAGCCAAGUAGCGUGCAGGAUGACGGCCCUAUGGGUUGUAAACUGCUUUUAUAAGGGAUAAAGUGGGAGUCGUGACUCUUUUUGCAUGUACCUUAUGAAUAAGGACCGGCUAAUUCCGUGCCAGCAGCC